AAAAAGCCUUGGAAAAGAAAAGAAAUAAAAGAAAAAGAGAAAGAUAAAACAAACUCCCAGCUUGGCCCAGCCAAACUCCCUCCCAGCUUCCCCCUCGUUCGGCCCACUGGCCGCGCGCGUGAAAGCCAGCCUAGCAGGAGCCACCGCGCCCCUUCCCCCUCUCUCUCUCACUGCCAUCAGGGCCCGCUAGUUAGCACCCCCCCC
RNAcentral lists this long non-coding RNA (204 nucleotides) under Sorghum bicolor (sorghum). RNAcentral describes it as "long non-coding RNA (SBIC_LNC004933)". Lineage: Eukaryota; Viridiplantae; Streptophyta; Magnoliopsida; Poales; Poaceae. The record is from RNAcentral.